CCUACGGGAGGCAGCAGUGAGGAAUAUUGGUCAAUGGGCGUAAGCCUGAACCAGCCAAGUCGCGUGAGGGAUGAAUGCCCUAUGGGUUGUAAACCUCUUUUAUCAAGGAAUAAAGUGCGGCACGUGUGCCUUUUCGUAUGUACCUUAUGAAUAAGGAUCGGCUAACUCCGUGCCAGCAGCCGCGGUAAUACGGAGGAUCCGAGCGUUAUCCGGAUUUAUUGGGUUUAAAGGGAGCGUAGGGUGCUUUUUAAGUCAGAUGUGAAAGUUUGUGGCUCAACCGUAAAAUUGCAGUUGAUACUGGCGGGCUGGAGUAUAUUUGAGGUAGGCGGAAUGCGUGGGGUAGCGGUGAAAUGCUUAGAUAUCACGAAGAAGCCCGAUUGCGAAGGCAGCUUACGAAGCUACGACUGACGCUGAUGCACGAAAGUGUGGGUAUCAAACAGGAUUAGAUACCCUAGUAGUC
RNAcentral lists this ribosomal RNA (460 nucleotides) under uncultured bacterium. RNAcentral's name for it is "partial 16S ribosomal RNA". It matches the Rfam family "Bacterial small subunit ribosomal RNA", at positions 338 to 795 of the family's 1533-position model. The record is from RNAcentral.